Homo sapiens (human) is the source of this 2226-nucleotide long non-coding RNA. RefSeq lists it as uncharacterized. The transcript has 3 exons. Lineage: Eukaryota; Metazoa; Chordata; Mammalia; Primates; Hominidae. The record is from RefSeq and is a predicted model, not a curated record.
UCUGGGGGAUGACAUGGAGCCCACUCAGCCUUGCCCAGCGCUGGGACUGAGAGUUUGAGAAGUCAUCCUGACUGGAAGACCUUCCCCAAGUCUAGGCAAGUGACUUAUGCCUGGCUGGGGAACCUCGGAGGUGAGGCAGGAGCAGCCCUGAACGCGGGCCCUGCCCCUCCUUCCUCCCACUCUCCAGAGGAAGUGUGCUAUUAUACUUCCACAUCUGCCAUGGACAUGGAAGGGAGGCAGGACGCCCAGCACGCCCGACGAAACAGACCUCUGCCCGCUGCUGUUAACUCAAAUGAAAGUGAGAGUCUGAGCAUUCUAACCUUUGAGGAAAGUAACAACGGAGGACAAACUCUCCAAAGCUGUGUGAAAACAAGCACUGUCCUGAACAAAAUUCCACUUCUUGGAAGUGAACCUAAAGAAGAAAUUACCCAGACUAUGCACCGUGAUGAAAAACUGCAAAGGACCCGAAUCUCCAGCAGGUCAAGUUACAUCAAAUCUACCACAUCUUGCAGGUGGACACAAUGCCGCGCAGUCAAGAAAAGUGAUGUUUCAGAAGACUUUGAAUGACCCAGAGGCAGCCUCUGUCCUUGUGCCCUAGGAGGUUGUGUGGGGAUGUUUCUCUUGUUUGGAUCAGGACCCAAUGUCCAGGAUGCCACUGUGGCUGCUACCAGAGAAUCUGGCAAGGUCUAUGGCCCCAUUGUCUCCUGCCCACCCUCCCGAGAGACAUACCCAGGAAGUCGCAGAGCAGGGGGUCCAGCACCCUCAGGAGCAGCAGCAGUCGCCCGAGUUGCCGCUUCAUGGUCUCCUGGCUCUCUUCAAAGUUCCCUUGCUGUGGGACGGAAGGAGGGGGGAAAGAGCAGACCCCGUGAGGUACCAGGACACCUGAUCGCUCGAUAGGCCUGUGUCCCACCCCUGACCCAAGCCUCACCACGAGCUCCAUGAAGCCACAGAAACACCAGAAAGCAUCCACCUCGUUCUGAAUGACGUAGAGGAUCGGGGAGAGAAGAUCACUCAUGCCCUGGACGUAGCCUGGGGGGACAUGGGGUCAGGCUGCAGCCAAGCCCGCAGCGCUCCCCUGGACAGCCCCGGCCACGCCCGUCCCCAGGCCUGGCACCCACCGAGGUCGAAGUGAUACAUGCAGUAGGUGAGGAGGAUAUCGUUCAGCAGGCCCAGCCCCGGGUUCUCGGGACCCUCGUAGAACUUGUUGGUCCUGUCAGUGCGGCUCACAUCCCUUUCUGCGGGGACCGGGCACAGGGUGCAAAGGUGAGAAAGGUAGGGGGGCCCAUCCCUGCUGGCCACCAGUGCCAGCCCCCACUGCUCCUCCUGCUGGCAGCCCCCAGCCUCGGGGUUUGCUCUGGGGGAGAAGCAGAGCUGGUUCUAGAAACUAUCACUGAUGCUCCUGCUGUGAGGCGCCAGGCCUCCCACUCACCAGCUGGCUAUAUCCUCCCACAGUAGGGGAAACUGAGGCCCAGGGAGGCAAAAUCACUUGCCAAGAUCACCAGGCAUUGACAGAACUGAGACUGGGCCUGAAGGGAGCUGGGCUCCCCUUCUUUCCCAUCCUGUCCCUGGCCUUGCUCCCCCAGGGCCAUUCCCCAACAGCCCAUGCAGCUUUCCCCCAAGAUGCCCUCUCACUGGUCUUGGGGAGGCAGGGGGCUCCCUCUAUCUCCCACUCGCACUUAUGCCUGAGGCCCUCCUGUGGUUCCCUGCUCCCAUCCACCCUAAGUGCCACCCCUGACACUGACCGAUGAGGCUGCGGUAUCCAUGCAGAAGUGAGUUUCUCCGCUCCUGCUCAGGGCUCACAGAUUUCCACUGCAGCUUCAUGCGGAAAUACUCAUCCCUGAGUGACAGAGGGAAACAAGAUGUGAGGCCGCCACUGUCUGCAACACCCAGAGACCUCCAAGCCUGGCGCCACCUCCCAGGUCAGCCCUGCAGAGCCCCUCCCUGACCACACAGACCCAAGCAGGUCACCUCGUCAUUCUUGCCACUAUCCCUUACACUUCACCUUCCUGGCAUCUCUCACUACAUAGCCUUGUGGCCUUUUGAUGAAAAUUUGUCACCCCCCACUGGACAGGGCACCAGGGACAGGGAAUCGUCCAGCACUGCUGCAUCCUCAGUGCCUGGCAGGUAUAUAACCUACACCAGGAAUGAGGAGAGACGGGCCCUCCUAGGUUAUAAAACAUGCUGCAAAACUGUGAUCAUUAAAACAGUAUGGCACAGGAAUGAAAA